GCCUACGGGAGGCAGCAGUCGAGAAUUUUUCUCAAUGGGGGAAACCCUGAAGGAGCGACGCCGCGUGGGGGAUGAAUGGCUUCGGCCCGUAAACCCCUGUCAUUUGUGAACAAACCUUUUCGUUUAACAAACGGAAAGCUGAUAGUAGCGAAAGAGGAAGGGACGGCUAACUCUGUGCCAGCAGCCGCGGUAAUACAGAGGUCCCAAGCGUUGUUCGGAUUCACUGGGCGUAAAGGGUGCGUAGGUGGUGAAGUAAGUUCGAUGUGAAAUCUCCGGGCUCAACCCGGAAAUUGCAUUGAAAACUACUUCGCUUGAGGGUUGGAGGGGAGACUGGAAUUCUCGGUGUAGCAGUGAAAUGCGUAGAUAUCGAGAGGAACACCAGUGGCGAAGGCGAGUCUCUGGACAACACCUGACACUGAGGCACGAAAGCUAGGGGAGCAAACAGGAUUAGAUACCCCCGUAC
Molecule: ribosomal RNA, 463 nt
Filed under: uncultured bacterium
Lineage: Bacteria
Description: bacterial SSU rRNA
Rfam family: Bacterial small subunit ribosomal RNA
Source: RNAcentral